UUCACCUUCCACCACUGCAUAACUCCCUCUUUCCUCUGCCCCUCGGCUCCCUCCGCUUUCGUCGCUGCCAGCAACCCUCUUCGUGCCGCACGUUAUACCCCCCACGGCCGAUAAGUUUGACAAAAAGAAGUGGGUCCACGUGGGCCUCAUCACCGAGUCCUUCUCCAACGGCAUGCUUCGUCUUCGCCUCGACAACGAAGAUCUCAUUCUCGGAUAUGUUUUUGGGAAAAUUUGAAAGAAUUUCAUCAGAAUAUUGUUCGGAAUCGCACCAAGGUUGAGUGAACGGAGCAGGUAAGAGAGACGAGAGGAAUCGGGACCUUGGCUAUUGACGGAUGGACGGACCUCCCAAAUUCGUGUGGAAGAAGAGAUGGUUGGAGCUUGACAAACUGAUUUCUAUCGGUAAAGAAAUUCACAAGAAUAUAAUUGUGUUGACUCUUACACAGAAAUUAGAGGUCACGAUUCAGUAGUCUUAGUAAAGUGGGGAGAAAGUCACCGAUGAUUCUGCAGCUUCAGUCGUCAAUUCCGAUGUGGUUUGGCGCGAUACCGCUUUACCGUUGGACAAGAACCUUGUAUACGGAUUGGGAUCAUUUUUCGUCAACAACCUCUGCAUUUUUACGUUGAGGCCGUCAUCAAGCUCUACCAUUCUUCGAGCCGUCGAGCUCGAGGAAGUCAUGAAUUUGAGGCUGCAGGUAUAGGAGCUCCAACGCAACCUUCACCAGUAGGCUCAGGAGCUGAACGAUUAUCAAAAAUGGUAUAUAUCAGGAGAUCCUCACCCAUGUGACAUCUACGGAUGAGUUCAGACUGGAGUGGAGGGAGUUGCUAGAGUGGCUUCAGCGUAUGAAGGCUAAGAUGAAGGUAUACCAGGCCCAGAUGUACGUCGCUGGCAUCAACUUUGGUGGUAGCGGUCCUGCUGGUGGCAUACGGACAUCACCGCCUUCUGCGUCACCGAUUCAGGGCCACAAGACCGAUGGCAACGACGAGGACGACGAGGACUACCUGGAUGUGUAGUUAUUAGUGUUUCGUUUCAUUGGUUCAUUGUAUUUAUUUGAUGUACUUAACUUUUAAUUUAUUUGAACAUUGUAUUAUUUAUUUUAAAUAAUAAAUUUUCAUUAUUUAUGGAUUGACAUUUAAUUUUGUGAAAAAUAAAUUUAAAUAAAAAUUAAAAUUGACCAUUUAUUUCAA
Arachis duranensis is the source of this 1182-nucleotide long non-coding RNA. RefSeq lists it as uncharacterized. Lineage: Eukaryota; Viridiplantae; Streptophyta; Magnoliopsida; Fabales; Fabaceae. The record is from RefSeq and is a predicted model, not a curated record. The transcript is spliced from 3 exons.